UAAACUUUGCAAGUUUGUUACCAGUUCCA
This 29-nucleotide non-coding RNA is filed under the name Rattus norvegicus (Norway rat). The record is from RNAcentral. Lineage: Eukaryota; Metazoa; Chordata; Mammalia; Rodentia; Muridae.